GACGGAGGAUGCAAGCGUUAUCCGGAAUUAUUGGGCGUAAAGCGUCCGUAGGCGGUUUCAAAAGUCUGUUGUUAAAGCCCACAGCUCAACUGUGGAUCGGCAAUGGAAACUGUGAGACUAGAGAGUGGUAGGGGUAGAGGGAAUUCCUAGUGUAGCGGUGAAAUGCAUAGAUAUCACAUAGAAUACCGAUUGCGAAGGCAGAUCACUAACAAUGCAUUGACACUGAUGGACGAAAGCGUGGGGAGCGAACAGG
This 253-nucleotide ribosomal RNA is filed under the name uncultured bacterium. RNAcentral's name for it is "partial 16S ribosomal RNA". It matches the Rfam family "Bacterial small subunit ribosomal RNA", at positions 524 to 776 of the family's 1533-position model. The record is from RNAcentral.